UUGGUUCUUCCGUAUGCUUUUCCCCCCUCCCCUUCACCUGCUCGAGAACGUCAAUUGUUUGAAAAGUAAAUAGUGGAGAAAGGUUACUUCAAUUUAUAUUUGAUAUCCUUGUCCAACUUUCGAUGAUAGCUAAAGAUCUGAUGGGCAUACUUUAAGAGCUGAAAUUUUCAUAGUUAAGUCAGGCUCCAAAUUGAUAUGAAAUCGGUGGCUUUUUUUUUUCCAGAUGGAAUAGGGACAGGACCUGAAGUGCGAUUUUCUUUUAUUGGAGCAAAUCUAUGUCCUCAAGAAUGUCCUUGUCAUCAAUUUAAAAUGCCAACAGCUUCACAAGGACUUUGUAGCUUGCGCUCCCAAUACAUAUGAAGCAUAAUUGUAUGUGUAGGUGUGUGGUGAUAAUUGUGAAUGGAGCAAUUAUACUUGCCCCGGAUAAGGGGUCAUAGUGGAAAGAAUAUUAGCUAGAGUAUAUCUAAAGGGUGGAUGAACAUGUUAGGCUCAGCCAAAGGUUGCUGCUGAUGAUAAACCUGGAUAAUAGGAAUGGAAGGAUGCUCACUGGAGAUGAAAGGAAGGAUAUUAACAAGAGUUAAAAUUGGGCAAAAUAGGAAGGUGAUGGUGACGAUGAUCUAGAUGAUGACUGGCUAACAGGUGAUGGCUGGGGCCGUCAUAUGCCCUUGGUAAAUCAUAGAUGGGUAUUGUCUGUCAUGAAAAUGUUCUGGAAUUGAAAGUAAAAAAUAAAAAAAUAAGAGUAACUCGGGCAUGUAUAUACAGCACAAUUAUAUUUAACCGGGGCCACGUUCAAAAAGAAAAAGAAAAGAAAGAAGAGAAUGAAAGGUGACGGAAUGGUGAUUAUAUUUAACCCAGUUUCAAAUUUUAAUACAUUUUUUCCACGUUAGUGCAAUUAUUGUACCUCUUUAUUACAUUCCAUAGUUGUGUCAGUUAAUUCUUAAAAAGAAAAAAAGUGACUCGGGCAUCUAUAUACAGCACAAUUAUAUUUAAGUGGGGCCAAGUUCAAAAAGAAAAGGAAAAGAAAGAAGAGAAUGAAAGGUGACGGGAUGGUGAUUGUAUUUAACCCACUUUUGAAUUUUAAUGCGCUUUUUUCCACAUUACUGCAACUAUUGUACCUCUUUAUUACAUUCCAUAGUUGUG
Molecule: long non-coding RNA, 1140 nt
Filed under: Elaeis guineensis (African oil palm)
Lineage: Eukaryota; Viridiplantae; Streptophyta; Magnoliopsida; Arecales; Arecaceae
Description: long non-coding RNA (EGUI_LNC016420)
Source: RNAcentral